GAUGAACGCUGGCGGCGUGCCUAAUACAUGCAAGUCGAGCGAACAGACGAGGAGCUUGCUCCUCUGACGUUAGCGGCGGACGGGUGAGUAACACGUGGAUAACCUACCUAUAAGACUGGGAUAACUUCGGGAAACCGGAGCUAAUACCGGAUAAUAUAUUGAACCGCAUGGUUCAAUAGUGAAAGACGGUUUUGCUGUCACUUAUAGAUGGAUCCGCGCCGCAUUAGCUAGUUGGUAAGGUAACGGCUUACCAAGGCAACGAUGCGUAGCCGACCUGAGAGGGUGAUCGGCCACACUGGAACUGAGACACGGUCCAGACUACUACGGGAGGCAGCAGUAGGGAAUCUUCCGCAAUGGGCGAAAGCUUGACGGAGCAGCGCCGCGUGAGUGAUGAAGGUCUUCGGAUCGUAAAAAUCUGUUAUUAGGGAAGAACAAAUGUGUAAGUAACUAUGCACGUCUUGACGGUACCUAAUCAGAAAGCCACGGCUAACUACGUG
Molecule: ribosomal RNA, 497 nt
Filed under: uncultured bacterium
Lineage: Bacteria
Description: partial 16S ribosomal RNA
Rfam family: Bacterial small subunit ribosomal RNA
Source: RNAcentral